Molecule: ribosomal RNA, 388 nt
Filed under: uncultured bacterium
Lineage: Bacteria
Description: bacterial SSU rRNA
Rfam family: Bacterial small subunit ribosomal RNA
Source: RNAcentral
GACGAACGCUGGCGGCGUGCUUAACACAUGCAAGUCGAGCGGUAAGGCCCUUUCGGGGGUACACGAGCGGCGAACGGGUGAGUAACACGUGGGUGACCUGCCCUCAGCUCUGGGAUAAGCCUGGGAAACCGGGUCUAAUACCGGAUAUGACUCCAUGACGCAUGUUGUGGGGUGGAAAGCCUUGUGCGGCUGAGGAUGGGCCCGCGGCCUAUCAGCUUGUUGGUGGGGUGAUGGCCUACCAAGGCGACGACGGGUAGCCGGCCUGAGAGGGCGACCGGCCACACGUGGGACUGAGACACGGCCCAGGCUCCUACGGGAGGCAGCAGGUGGGGAAUCUUGCGACAAGUGGGCGAAAGCCUGACGCAGCGACGCCGCGUGAGGAUGACGG